AAAUUGCUAAUAUUUAUGGGUAGUCCUAAAUGGACUUAAAGGGAAGACGGUGAAAAUCCGUCGCGGGCCCGCCGCUGUAAUUGGGAACGAAAACCGCAGAUUGCCACUGCUCUAUUGAAGUG
Molecule: non-coding RNA, 122 nt
Filed under: Desulfobacteraceae bacterium
Lineage: Bacteria; Pseudomonadati; Thermodesulfobacteriota; Desulfobacteria; Desulfobacterales; Desulfobacteraceae
Source: RNAcentral